Molecule: long non-coding RNA, 869 nt
Organism: Patella vulgata (common limpet)
Lineage: Eukaryota; Metazoa; Mollusca; Gastropoda; Patellidae
Exons: 4
Source: RefSeq, a predicted model, not a curated record
GUGAUUUUAUUGGGGAAUAUUUUAAAGUCACCAAUACUAAGUUUUAAAUGUUAGAUAAUAUGUUCCACUUCACUAGCUUUAGCUAUCCUGUGUUUCUAUCGACUUUCUAUCCACUAUCUUAAGUUAGAGUGAGUUUCUUCUCAUUUUUGGUAUCUUGUCUUGGUUUUAACCUUUGAACCUGAGUAUAUUGUGGUCAGGUGAUUUGGUAUCCAGGGAAUGUUUGGACACUUAGGUAAUAGAGUUUGAGGCAAUAGGUUGACUAUUUUCAGUUCUCCAUAUUGCAACUUAUUUCUGUAUAGUCAUAGUUUAAUUAGCUAGUUUUAGAUAUUUCAUUUCUAAUAUAGUUUAUAUAGAAGUUAGAUUAAAGUAUUCAAUAGUUCCAGUGAUUGCCAGGUAAGAUACUUCAAAGGUACUUCACCUUUGACAGUCUGUCUAGCCAGCAAAACCCCUCUCUAGGGGUUUCUGUUAUAUCUGAAUAAACCGUUGAAUCGAACCCUUGGUGUGGUUUUUUCUACAACUAGAGAAUGGACCCCCCGUAACAUUUGGAGCCCGAUAAAUUUUGAUGGUAUAAUGGUAUAAAGAUUAAUGGUAUAAUGGUUAUCAGUUUAAUGGUGAUUUUGAAGAGUAUAGACUACUAUAGAAGAUAAAAUUCAGUGAGCUCACACGCGUGCGCGAUCAACAGCAAUAGCAGUAUACCAGUGCAGUGACAUUAACUUUAUUUAGUAUAUUUUGGUGAUUUGUGUUUCAUUUGGAUUUAUAAGGAUUUUCCAUAAGAUACUUCAAAGGUACUUCACCUUUGACAGUCUGUCUAGCCAGCAAAACCCCUCUCUAGGGGUUUCUGUUAUAUCUGAAUAAACCGUUGAAUCGAA